GCGGCGUGCCUAAUACAUGCAAGUAGAACGCUGAAGGAGGAGCUUGCUCUUCUGGAUGAGUUGCGAACGGGUGAGUAACGCGUAGGUAACCUGCCUGGUAGCGGGGGAUAACUAUUGGAAACGAUAGCUAAUACCGCAUAAGAGUAGAUGUUGCAUGACAUUUGCUUAAAAGGUGCAAUUGCAUCACUACCAGAUGGACCUGCGUUGUAUUAGCUAGUUGGUGGGGUAACGGCUCACCAAGGCGACGAUACAUAGCCGACCUGAGAGGGUGAUCGGCCACACUGGGACUGAGACACGGCCCAGACUCCUACGGGAGGCAGCAGUAGGGAAUCUUCGGCAAUGGACGGAAGUCUAACCGAGCAACGCCGCGUGAGUGAAGAAGGUUUUCGGAUCGUAAAGCUCUGUUGUAAGAGAAGAACGAGUGUGAGAGUGGAAAGUUCACACUGUGACGUAUCUACCAGAAAGGACGCA
This 471-nucleotide ribosomal RNA is filed under the name Streptococcus sp. oral taxon 064. Its description in RNAcentral is "bacterial SSU rRNA". It matches the Rfam family "Bacterial small subunit ribosomal RNA", at positions 39 to 496 of the family's 1533-position model. The record is from RNAcentral. Lineage: Bacteria; Bacillati; Bacillota; Bacilli; Lactobacillales; Streptococcaceae.